RNAcentral lists this ribosomal RNA (253 nucleotides) under uncultured bacterium. RNAcentral's name for it is "partial 16S ribosomal RNA". It matches the Rfam family "Bacterial small subunit ribosomal RNA", at positions 524 to 776 of the family's 1533-position model. The record is from RNAcentral.
UACGGAGGGAGCUAGCGUUGUUCGGAAUUACUGGGCGUAAAGCGCACGUAGGCGGCUACUCAAGUCAGAGGUGAAAGCCCGGGGCUCAACCCCGGAACUGCCUUUGAAACUAGGUGACUAGAAUCUUGGAGAGGUCAGUGGAAUUCCGAGUGUAGAGGUGAAAUUCGUAGAUAUUCGGAAGAACACCAGUGGCGAAGGCGACUGACUGGACAAGUAUUGACGCUGAGGUGCGAAAGCGUGGGGAGCAAACAGG